CCUUACCUGGCCUUGACAUACUAAGAACUUUCCAGAGAUGGAUUGGUGCCUUCGGGAACUUAGAUACAGGUGCUGCAUGGCUGUCGUCAGCUCGUGUCGUGAGAUGUUGGGUUAAGUCCCGCAACGAGCGCAACCCUUUUCCUUAUUUGCCAGCGGGUAAUGCCGGGAACUUUAAGGAUACUGCCAGUGACAAACUGGAGGAAGGCGGGGACGACGUCAAGUCAUCCUGGCCCUUACGGCCAGGGCUACACACGUGCUACAAUGGUCGGUACAAAGGGUUGCCACCUCGCGAGAGGAUGCUAAUCUCAAAAAGCCGAUCGUAGUCCGGAUCGCAGUCUGCAACUCGACUGCGUGAAGUCGGAAUCGCUAGUAAUCGCGGAUCAGAAUGCCGCGGUGAAUACGUUCCCGGGCCUUGUACACACCGCCCGUCACACCAUGGGAGUUUGUUGCACCAGAAGUAGGUAGUCUAACCGCAAGGAGGACGCUUACCACGGUGUGGCCGAUGACUGGGGUGAAGUCGUAACAAGGUAGGCGUAGAUGA
Molecule: ribosomal RNA, 541 nt
Filed under: uncultured bacterium
Lineage: Bacteria
Description: bacterial SSU rRNA
Rfam family: Bacterial small subunit ribosomal RNA
Source: RNAcentral